This is a long non-coding RNA of Alligator mississippiensis (American alligator), 1399 nucleotides long. RefSeq lists it as uncharacterized. The transcript has 4 exons. The record is from RefSeq and is a predicted model, not a curated record. NCBI's taxonomy places the organism in Eukaryota, Metazoa, Chordata, Crocodylia, Alligatoridae.
AAUCUUCACAGUCACCUUGAGUGGACAAGGAAAUAUUCAGACCUGGAAGUUAAGUCCUUCCUAUUCCCCUCCAAGGUGUAUAGUAUUAUCUACUCAUAUUCUUUUCUUAGGGGAAGGAUGUAAGGUCUCUGCUUUCUGCAGCAGCUAAUGGCAGCGAUCUUUUUUUAGAAAAGGUUAAAAGCUGCAUGUGCCUGAAAUUUCUCCUUUCACAAAAUCUUGUGCCACCAGGGCCCAAAUUAUCCCUGUGGCCAUGAUUUAAUAGAGAGCUGCCCUGCUUGGAGCCUGAGGAACAGACUCUUUCUGCUGUGGCACUCAAAGUACUUCAAAAACAUUAAUGAAUUAACCCUCACAACACCCCUGUGAAAAAGACUGCAUCUUGUGCAUCUGCAAAGUGAGUGUGAAAUACUUUGGAAAUUUAGGAUGACACUGCUUAUCCCUGCUUCGUCCUGGUGUGUGGGUCUCCCUGUGCCACAGCAGCGUCUGAGUGCCACAGUCCAGUAGUGCGACACAUCACCUACAAGCCUUGAACACAAAGGAUAUUCCUGGCCGAAACCGCUACAUGCAAGGUGCCUGACAGUGGUGAACUGGAGCCAUUUCAUGGACCAUGGACGGAAGACAUUCAGAAGCAUUGCAACUUGGAUGAUGGACGUUUACAGGGAAAGAAAUAAAGGAGUACCUCUGCCCUGUCGCUGAGGCUGGGGGAGGAAAGCGCAUGACAAAGGGGACAAAAGAAGGGUGCUGAGUGUCUUUCUUGGGAUAAUGUGUUGCAUGUCUUUGCAAGUCAGACUCCGGCAGUUGGAGCCCUGGUUCUGACGGUGGGUGGCAGUGCAGAGCAAAUAUUCUCUGCUCCUAGUGGGUGCUUUGAUUAGACACAGGAUUUGCCUUUCUGAGAUAAUUUAGCAAGCGGAGAAAGUACCUGAGUAGUGGAGGUUAAGAGCAGACGGUUAACCAGAACCUCUGCCUCCCAAAGAGGGCAGGAAGAAAAAUCUCUGCUGCAAACUGUCAGGAAUUGCAACUGCUGAAUUCCUCACUCCUUGCCCAUUUAGCAAAGGCAUGCCAGUCUUUUGAGAGGCUGAGACCCUAAACCCAGCAAGUCAGGGGGGAAGCCUUAAAGACUGAUUUGAAAGAGAUAUGAACGUUACUAACCUGGAAUAAAGUGGGAUUAUGUCUUCUCAAUGGCUUUAUUAUGCCUGCAUAUUGCUCUUGAUCUGGUGUCGGUUGUCUUUGGCUCGCCCUGUAGUCUGCUGCAUGCAGCAAGCCAAACACAUCUUCCUCUGAAUGCAAUUUCAGGGAUUUUUUUUCUUUCCUCCCUUUUGAGGGGAACUAGCUGUAUAAGAGAAAAGCGAUGUAUGGAGCUGAGCAGUAUAGUACCCUGCUCUCUGCUCCUUUUAUAUUUGGA